GAUGACGUUUAAAAACGUCAUUUUACUUCGUCAACAAGAAGACGGUUUUAUAAUUUGACAGCUGCGAGCAUUCGCAGAAGGCAUAAUGUCUCUGUUGCGUGUGUUUACUAAUCCCAGAAAUCAUAUUUGUAAAGGCGUACUUGUGGAGUCAGUUUUUAAAGCCUGCUCGCGGACUACAGGGUCAGCUACAGAUGGGAAGCCGCUGGACAAGGAGCCUCUGAGGAAGGCCAAAACCCCACUCGGACGUCUCGAUAUUUCAGAGAAAGAAACGACAAAGGACGUCCUGGAACGAUUCCCGGAUGACGUGAAUCCUGUCACAAAAGAACAAGGAGGACCCAGGGGUCCCGAGCCCACGCGAUUCGGCGAUUGGGAGAGAAAGGGGCGGUGCAUAGAUUUUUAGUUUAUUACUGGACACUAUAUAUGUUUAAAACUCUGAUUUUCCGGCCGGACUGUAAUAUACUUGAAAGAAAAAAACGCAUAUUAAUAUGCACACAACACAACUGCACUAUAAAUGUGGAAAUGUGUAUUCUAAUACAGGUAUGCUACAUGGCAGCAAUUGUAUUUGUGUAAACAACUUAAGAGAGAAUUUGACAUUUAAUUACUCAACACUGUUGUACUUAUAGCACAAACAUUUCAUGUGGUGUUAUUCAAAGUUUAUUCCAGCAGUCAUAAUAGGCCUGAAAGUAGAACGUAAUUUGAAAUAUAACUUGUGUGUAUAGCAAUGCGUGAUCAUCUGUUAAACAGGUGUUUCUUACAGAACUGGGAUGAUGAAUAAAUACGUUAUUGUAUGAAGUCGAA
Anguilla anguilla (European eel) is the source of this 798-nucleotide long non-coding RNA. RefSeq lists it as uncharacterized. The transcript is spliced from 3 exons. The record is from RefSeq and is a predicted model, not a curated record. Lineage: Eukaryota; Metazoa; Chordata; Actinopteri; Anguilliformes; Anguillidae.